RNAcentral lists this ribosomal RNA (404 nucleotides) under uncultured Pseudomonadota bacterium. Its description in RNAcentral is "bacterial SSU rRNA". It matches the Rfam family "Bacterial small subunit ribosomal RNA", at positions 378 to 774 of the family's 1533-position model. The record is from RNAcentral. Lineage: Bacteria; Pseudomonadati; Pseudomonadota.
CAAGCCUGAUCCAGCCAUGCCGCGUGGGUGAAGAAGGCCUUCGGGUUGUAAAGCCCUUUUGUUGGGAAAGAAAAGCAGCCGGCCAAUACCCGGUUGUUCUGACGGUAUCCGGAGAAGAAGCCCCGGCUAACUUCGUGCCAGCAGCCGCGGUAAUACGAAGGGGGCUAGCGUAGUUCGGAAUUACUGGGCGUAAAGCGCACGUAGGCGGGCAUUUAAGUCAGGGGUGAAAUCCCAGAGCUCAACUCUGGAACUGCCUUUGAUACUGGGUGUCUUGAGUAUGGAAGAGGUAAGUGGAAUUCCGAGUGUAGAGGUGAAAUUCGUAGAUAUUCGGAGGAACACCAGUGGCGAAGGCGGCUUACUGGUCCAUUACUGACGCUGAGGUGCGAAAGCGUGGGGAGCAAACA